CCGGGGAAUUGUGAGAAAUGUGAAUGUCGGGGGUAAAAUCCGACAUUUUUGGGUCCGAAUCGGCCGGGUGGUAAAAACACGAUUAUUGUGAGGAAAAAACUCGCGAAUUCUGAGGAAUUUGAGGCUGCCCCUCCCUCUGUCGGUGCCGCCCCUCCCCCUGUGUCGCGAUAAUGUCGCGAUUUUUCACCACCGGUUCCGACUCCGAGUCCGAGUCGUCGGCGUCGGGAGACGAAACCGCGCCCAAGGCGGCGGGGGGACCCUACAGCAAGCCGCUGCUGCUCAGUGAGGAUGAGGAGGACACGAAGCGCGUGGUGAGGAGCGCCCGCGACAAGAGGUGAGCGGUGAUCG
Long non-coding RNA from Pyrgilauda ruficollis (rufous-necked snowfinch), 348 nucleotides. RefSeq lists it as uncharacterized. The transcript is spliced from 4 exons. The record is from RefSeq and is a predicted model, not a curated record. NCBI's taxonomy places the organism in Eukaryota, Metazoa, Chordata, Aves, Passeriformes, Passeridae.